ACUCGGCAUCACAGGGGAACAAAACUAGUAAUAUAUAAUAGCGAAUCUUACUUAAAUGUUAUUAAAGGGAUGCUAGUAUAAUUGUUUUGUUUUUCUUUGCUUUUUCUUUUUAUUUUUGCUUAUUUUCCUUGUUUAUGUUGGAAGUUAUUCCUCAUUUGAAUAAAAAAAAGGCUUUAAAAAAUAAAAUAAAACCACCUAAGAAUCUGUCUCUACAGACUCUACCCACGCAAAGUCACAAACCCUUACCCUUCCCUCUUCUAUGUAAAAAAAAGUACUCAAAGAGACACUCAUAGUCUCAUACCCAAACUUCUUGAACCCAAAAACCUCUAAAUUUCAGUGGCAAUUUGCAAUUCCCCGGUUAGCAGACAAAUCUUGUUGGUUGUCGCUGUCGUAUUUAAUUUCGUGGUGGAAAUACUUCAUUAUUCUUCAAUUCUAAGGUUUUGAUUCCUAUUAUGAAACCAAUUGAAUACACCAUUGCAAAUCAUAAUAAAAUGGGGAGUGCCCAGUUGAUCUUCUUGAUUGACAAACUAUGUCAAUCUUUGACGCCACAUCAGCAGUUUGAGUUACUAGAAGAUGAGUCAACCGAAUGAAGCUACACGUAGGCAAGCCUUAUUUUAACAAUGGUUGUUUACUUCUGUCAAUUCAUUAGUUAGCUGGUGAGUUAGUGAGUUACACUAGGGUGAAGGCUGAUAUUAGUUAAAGCUUUUAUUGUAGGCAGUUGGUAGAUAGAGACCAGUCAAAUCAACAAUACUACUGACUAUUUCUACAACUUAAAUGCAACAACUGUGAAAUAAAAUAUGAAAUAAAAUUAGAUAUUUACCUUCACAUUGUAUAAAAAAUAAUUUUUAAAAUAAAUUUUAUUUUAUUGCCUCUAACUAAAUGCUAUUAAGGAACUGAUUAACAUGACUACCCCUAAAUUAUGGUUUUACAAAGUUUUUGUAGUAGUAAUCAUCAAACUUCACCGUCUAUAAGUCUAUUGUGUUAGAAAAGUAAUGAUAAAAUAAAGGCCGUACGAACAUAUAUAUUUUUCAGAGUUGACUUUUUUGUCUAUUAUUUUGUAUGGGAUUAUGAGUUAGUAAAUAUAUAAAUAGAUAAAGUUAUUCAUUUGAGACUUGGCUAAAGAAACGUGUCUUAAAUAUAUCUAAAUCAUUUUGUUCGUACUUACCCCGUUUCAAAAUAAUCACCGGAACAUGAGUAUGUUUACUCUUUGUAAGUAUUAUUUGAUUCAUGAUUAGUAAACUUAUGUACAAUUGACAAUAGUGCCACGCAAAGGGACGGAUGCACUAAUGGACAAGGUAAAUUUUUUACUUCAAAUGUGUCAAUUUAAGUUAAUGAAACUUCAAUGUAUUAAAGGAUUGCAACUAAAAUGAUUAGGUUAAUUGUUAUAUGUAAUGAUGUAAUUGUGUAAUUCUUACCAAUGAAAAUUAAUAUAUACUUAUUACCUCUAUUUUUUUUUUUAAGUUGAUAAGUAUUCCUAUUUAGAAAUUUUAUUUUUAUUUCACCACAUUUUCAUUUUGGGUAAGUUUUUUCAGUAACCUUUUCAUGCAGCAGACAACACCGUGUGGCAGGAGCUACCUAGUUAUUUUGUUAAGGUUUACCUUAGUUAUUCAGUCAGGGGUUACUCGGUCAGGAUUAUCUUUUAUUAUCUUACUUAAAUAUUUUUACAAGGUUUGUACUAGACUACUCCUUUAUUUACAACAAUUGUAACUAAUUUAAUCUAUAUUUGUAUUUUAUCACAUAAUUUUUUAUUAUAAAACCUCAUUUGUUAUAUACAUAUAACUAGUUUUGUAACCGGGCGGGCGAUGCCCGGAUUGUUGAUAAAAAAUUUAGGAUAAAAUAUAAUUGUUUACUUUUUGUAGUUUGUAAUUUGUAAAUAGAUAUAUAUAUUAUUAUUAACUUGAUUUUUUUUUAAUGGUUUAGUUGAUUUUUUUUUAUUGAACUUAAAUUAUUUUUAUUGAAUUGAAAGUAUUUUUACUAAACUAAAAUUAUUAUUUUUUGUUUAAAAUUUAUUUUAUUUCAGGUUUUCUAUUAUUUUUUGAAAAAUUAAAUAUAUUAUAAAUGGAUCUUAUUUUAAAGAACUUUUUAAAACGAAUUUUAUAAUGGAAAUAAAACCGAGUCAUAGGAUAUUUAUUAAAAGUUAUGAUUAAUUAUAUAUAUAUGAAAUAUUAGAAGUAUAUUCAUUUUUAUCUUAAAAAAUCUAUCCAAAAUUAGCUUACUUAGCAUCAUAUGUGUCACACAGUCACAGUAAUAUCUAUUUGUCGGUUACAUGACACGACAUUUGGUGAAAACCUAGAAUGCUUAGUGUUGCUGUUACGUGGCCUCGCUGCAAGACCGAUUUUAUAUAUUAGUGAUAUGAUACGAUUUGAUGACCCGGGGCAUUUCCUAGGCCAAAAACUAGUUUUAUUUCCUAAAAUGAAUAUGGUGCAAUAGUUGUGAAACCUCCAUUACUACAAAAAGAGUACUUUCUCGACACUGGGCCUUCGACGCUAGACUGGUAGUGUCAGCUCUGAAAUACUAUGCGUGUUUUACCGACGCUUUUUAGCGUCGAGAAACUCUAGCACGUGACUAACACGUGAAUUCAACACCCACAAUUUCAAAAUUUAGGAAAAAAAAAAAAAACAAACCAACCAACCCCUUACCACUCAGUGACUCAGUUAUCAACCCUAACUAUUCUUCUCAUCUUCAUACGUAAUUCUACAAAGAGGCUCAUGGAACCAUGAAUUUCAAACUCAAAUCUUCGCUCCUCUGUGAAUCAAAUUCAAAUUCAGAUCUUCGCCCUUCUUGAAUCAAUUUCAAAGCGUGCUACAUCAGUUUCAAAGUUACAUUUUCGUCCGUCGUCCCUCUCUAUUCUAUUUCGAAAUGAGGUAAAUCAAUAUAAGUUUAGAUCUUUGUCUCUCUAAAUCAAUUCAUAUUAAGGUACAUCAAUUAUAUAUUCAGAUCUGUCUAAUGUUAAUCAAUUUGUUCCUCAUCUCUGUGCCGACAACAUUAAGGCGUAUAUUUUGUUUUGUUUUUUUUUCUUUUUUAUUCGAAAUUGGGUUUGUGGAUUGUUUUUAAAGCUUUUUUUCCCAAUAAUGUUACCGAAGUAUGGUCAGAUGAUGGGUUUAAUUGAUUGAACAGUAAAAAUUUCAAGGUUUCUUAAGUCUGGUGGGUUGUGGUAAUCGGCUCAGGUGGGUAGGAUGUCGGAUCUGAGUAUGGAGUUGCAGGAAUCUGGGUGGGAAGAGCUCCGAAAAGAAGCCCGAAAGAUUGAAGGUAAUCUUGAUGUUAAGCUUUCUUCUUAUGCUAAGCUUGGUGCUCGUUUUACCCAAGGUAACCUCAUUUUUUUUAUUCUAAUUUUUAUGGGUAUUUGUUGUUCUUAACAUUUUGAUUUGAUUAAUUUUGAAUAGGGUUUUAAUGGGUCUACAUUGUGUUGAAUUUAUGUAUCCUAAAUUUGAUUUCAGAUUUUGAUUAUUGCAUUAGUUUUUGCUUCAUGUUUUUCUGAGUAGUUAGUUUGUUUUUGUAUAAAUUGAUGUUGUUUGUUUAUAAUUAUGGCGAUUGGGUGUAGAUAGAGUUCAUUUAGUUACCAAUUUGGUUAAUUAGUUUUGUGGGCAGUGAAUUUUGAUCAGAAGAAUAGAACUCUGACUGUGUUAUAUUAGAUGGUGAUUUAAGGUGAAUGGGUUGGAAUUUCAGUUUUUGGUUGAGUCUGGUUUGUAUGAAAGCGAUGACGAGGCGGCAAAGAGGGAAGCGGUUUUGGCUCGCCUUAGAGAGGUAUAAGAACUAAAUUGGUGUGUGUUGAAGUUAUGUUCUUAUUUCUGACAUGAAUUUUAGUUGACUUUAUCGAAUUUGGGCAUUUUGUUUGGAUCCUUACCCGGGGUAUACUCCCAUAAGGCAUGAACAAAUUGAUGACAGUGUGUACGAGGAACUUCCUGGUGGAGAGCUAAUCUAACCGGAGAGGCAUGUUAACAUAUUCUUUAAUAUUUUAUUUUCGUGGAUGAAUCCCCUCAUGGAGCUUGGUUAUAAAAGACCAUUAACAGAGAAGGACGUAUGGAAGCUAGACACAUGGGAUCAAACUGAAACAUUGAUAAGCAAGUUCCAGAGUUGCUAGAUUGUGGAAUCUCGAAAACCAAAACCGUGGCUUUUAAGACCGUUAAAUCGUAGUCUUGGUGGAAGGUAUGUAGGUUUUGGUGGGGAGGAUUCUGGAAGGACGUUGACCACACUGUUGUCGACCUUGCUAUUGUUGCUAUGCAAUGUUGUUGCUGUUGUUUUUUAUUCUCGAUGAUGUUGUCAGUAUUCUAAUUUUGCUGCUAUCCCUAUCUCUGCUGGGAUUGCUAGUUCCUCUCAGUCUGUUGUCUCUGUCUUCCACCCUCCCUCGGGUGAGAAUGGAGCUACUACUAAUGCCGCAUUCUGUCCCUGAAGACCCUCUGCCCUGCUGUUCCUUUGCAGCAGCAGUGGAUUCCUCCUCCCCCUGGGUUCAAAAGAAUCCAUACAGAUGGCUCUUGGAGGAGGAUUAAUGUUGCUGCUGGUGGUGGAGUGAUUCGGAAUGAUGAUGGGACUUGUUUAUUGGGUUUCUCCAACAAAUACAACGCUGUCACGGCGCUAGCAGCUGAGCUUUAUGCUGUUAGAGAUGCUUUGGCUAUGGCCGAGGCUUUUGAUGUGAAGAAAGUGGAGCUUUUCACGGAUGCAAUUUCCAUUAAGGUGAUGUUUAAUUGACACCUUCGACCCCAUUAUCCACCAUCCCCUUGUUGCCAUAAUAAAUGACAUUGCUAAUAGCAUUAGGAAACUUGAAGAGGUGGAGAUUAAAGCAUGUUCGUAGGGAUAUCAAUGUCAUUGCCCAUAAUCUUGCUGAAGGUUGUAAUGAUAUGGCUAUUGGCCAUAGGACUUAUUAUUCUAUCCCAGAUUGCGUGAAGAACCCUUAUGAAAGGGAGUUAUGUAUUCCUACUGUCGAAGUUUGAUGCCACCUAUUUCCUCUAGCUUAGAUGUCUUAUUAGUGAUGCCUAUGAUUGGCUUUGUUCUGUGCUUAUGUAUAAUUACCUCUUGUUUGUACUUUUGAACUAUUGGCUCCUUGGUAUAAGAUAGAAUUAUACCUUUUGUAAUAGAAAACUCAUUGCUAUUAGAUAUUGUACAUAAACUAUAAAUAUAUUUAUAUGCAAUAAAAAAAUUUGGCCUAAUUUUGCUGUGUA
Chenopodium quinoa (quinoa) is the source of this 5156-nucleotide long non-coding RNA. RefSeq lists it as uncharacterized. Lineage: Eukaryota; Viridiplantae; Streptophyta; Magnoliopsida; Caryophyllales; Amaranthaceae. The transcript has 7 exons. The record is from RefSeq and is a predicted model, not a curated record.